AGUAACACGUGGAUAACCUACCUAUAAGACUGGGAUAACUUCGGGAAACCGGAGCUAAUACCGGAUAAUAUUUUGAACCGCAUGGCUCAAAAGUGAAAGACGGUCUUGCUGUCACUUAUAGAUGGAUCCUCGCUGCAUUAGCUAGUUGGUAAGGUAACGGCUUACCAAGGCAACGAUGCAUAGCCGACCUGAGAGGGUGAUCGGCCACACUGGAACUGAGACACGGUCCAG
This 231-nucleotide ribosomal RNA is filed under the name uncultured Staphylococcus sp. Its description in RNAcentral is "partial 16S ribosomal RNA". It matches the Rfam family "Bacterial small subunit ribosomal RNA", at positions 109 to 334 of the family's 1533-position model. Lineage: Bacteria; Bacillati; Bacillota; Bacilli; Caryophanales; Staphylococcaceae. The record is from RNAcentral.